GUACGGUUUGUACAGGAUAGGUAGGAGCCAUUGAACUCUGGACGCCAGUCUAGAGGGAGGCAUUGGUGGGAUACUACCCUCACCGUACGGCCACUCUAACUCGCGCCCCUUAACGGGGUGGAAGACAGUGUCAGGUGGACAGUUUGACUGGGGCGGUCGCCUCCUAAACAGUAACGGAGGCGCCCAAAGGUUCCCUCAGAAUGGUUGGAAAUCAUUCGCAGAGUGUAAAGGCAGAAGGGAGCUUGACUGCGAGACUUACAAGUCGAGCAGGGACGAAAGUCGGGCUUAGUGAUCCGGUGGUUCCGCAUGGAAGGGCCAUCGCUCAACGGAUAAAAGCUACCCUGGGGAUAACAGGCU
RNAcentral lists this ribosomal RNA (357 nucleotides) under Dolosigranulum pigrum. RNAcentral describes it as "bacterial LSU rRNA". It matches the Rfam family "Bacterial large subunit ribosomal RNA", at positions 2127 to 2483 of the family's 2925-position model. Lineage: Bacteria; Bacillati; Bacillota; Bacilli; Lactobacillales; Carnobacteriaceae. The record is from RNAcentral.